RNAcentral lists this ribosomal RNA (1386 nucleotides) under Triticum aestivum (bread wheat). Its description in RNAcentral is "partial small subunit ribosomal RNA". Lineage: Eukaryota; Viridiplantae; Streptophyta; Magnoliopsida; Poales; Poaceae. The record is from RNAcentral.
AUGGAGAAGGCGCUCGACAGGCAGAGGAUCCUGCUGCGGCACCUGGAGCCCGCGGCCGGCGCCAGCCCGACCGCCUCCGCCAUCUCCGCCAGCGCGUGCGCCGCGGGGGACAGCGCCGCGUACCACCGGGGCCCCUGCUUCGCCGACGACGUCGUCAUCGUCGCUGCCUAUAGGACAGCAAUCUGCAAGGCCAAGAGAGGUAGUUUCAAGGAUACACUCCCUGAGGACCUCUUGGUACCGGUAUUCAAGGCUUUGGUGGAUAAAACAAAGCUAAAUCCGAGCGAAGUUGGCGACAUUGUUGUUGGUACUGUUUUAGCUCCUGGGUCCCAAAGGGCAAUAGAAUGCAGGAUGGCCGCAUUGUAUGCGGGUUUCCCUGACACGGUUCCUCUGAAGACUGUAAACCGACAGUGCUCUUCUGGGCUUCAGGCAGUCGCAGAUGUUGCUGCUGCUAUUAAAGCAGGGAUGUAUGAUAUUGGUAUUGCUGCUGGCGUAGAGUCAAUGACAGUGAACAAAGUUAAUCUUGUCGAGAAAGCGAAUCCCAAAGUUGAGCUAUUUGCUCAAGCACGCGAUUGCCUUCUCCCAAUGGGCCUUACCUCCGAGAAUGUUGCACAGCGGUUUGGCAUAACACGCAUGGAGCAAGAUCAAGCUGCUGUUGAGUCUCACAGGAAGGCAGCGGCGGCAGUUGCUGCUGGUAAAUUUAAAGAAGAAAUUGUUCCAGUUCAUACAAAGAUCAUGGAUCCAAAAACUGGUGAAGAAAAGGAGAUUGUGGUCUCAGCAGAUGAUGGAAUCCGGUCGAAUACCACACUGGCAGUCCUGUCAAAACUUAAACCAGCAUUUUCCAAGGACGGGACAACUACUGCUGGAAAUGCUAGCCAAGUAAGUGAUGGAGCUGGAGCUGUCCUACUAAUGAGGCGAGAUGUUGCUACACAGAAGGGUCUUCCAAUUCUUGGAAUCUACAGGAGCUUUGCUGCAGUUGGAGUUGAUCCAGCUGUGAUGGGUGUUGGUCCUGCUGUUGCUAUCCCAGCAGCAGUGAAGGCCGCGGGCCUUCAAAUUAAUGAUAUUGACCUUUUCGAGAUUAAUGAGGCUUUUGCAUCUCAGUAUGUGUACUGCUCAAAAAAGUUGGAUCUCGAUCCCGCAAAAGUCAAUGUUAAUGGAGGUGCAAUUGCUCUUGGACAUCCAUUGGGUGCCACAGGUGCGCGCUGUGUCAGCACUCUUCUCAACGAGAUGAAGCGCCGAGGCAAGGACUGCCGGUUUGGAGUGAUUUCUAUGUGCAUAGGUUCCGGGAUGGGUGCGGCCGCCGUUUUCGAGCGUGGAGAUGCGGUGGAUGAGCUGACGAAUGCCCGAGGGGGGCCCUCGCUUAACUGGCUCUCCAAAGACACCGUGUAA